RNAcentral lists this ribosomal RNA (256 nucleotides) under uncultured bacterium. RNAcentral's name for it is "partial 16S ribosomal RNA". It matches the Rfam family "Bacterial small subunit ribosomal RNA", at positions 793 to 1055 of the family's 1533-position model. The record is from RNAcentral.
GUCCACGCCGUAAACGAUGGAUACUAGCUGUUGGGGGCAACUUCAGUGGCUAAGCGAAAGUGAUAAGUAUCCCACCUGGGGAGUACGGGCGCAAGCCUGAAACUCAAAAGGAAUUGACGGGGGCCCGCACAAGCGGUGGAGCAUGUGGUUUAAUUCGAUGAUACGCGAGGAACCUUACCAAGGCUUAAAUGUAGAUUGACCGAUUUGGAAACAGAUCUUUCGCAAGACAAUUUACAAGGUGCUGCAUGGUUGUCGU